This 208-nucleotide long non-coding RNA is filed under the name Lotus japonicus. RNAcentral's name for it is "long non-coding RNA (LJAP_LNC000661)". The record is from RNAcentral. Lineage: Eukaryota; Viridiplantae; Streptophyta; Magnoliopsida; Fabales; Fabaceae.
UGGUCUUCCCAAAAAGCCUGGCUUUGCCUGGUAGCCUAUUUAAAAGCCAGUUUCACAACAAGAUUUUUACAUUUUCUAACAAAUUUAUCUGUAAAGAAGCUAUUAAACUUAUAAGCUAACGGGUUAAAUUAUACUAACACAAUUUUUUCAACAAUCAGACUUAUAAUAUUAUAAGCUACUGGGUAGAGAUGCAACUAAACGAGAUUAU